GGGAGCAAAAGACCUGGUUCACGUGACUGAAGCUCUCCAUCCCAAGGAUAUAGCCCUGAGUAGUACAGUCCCUUUCUUCUGUAUUGGUAUAGGGAGCACAAAAACAUUUCAAGCUCUGGCAAUCCAGAUCAGAAAAAAGCUGGGAAUUUCCUGUGGACCAAUAGAUGUGAAUCAAACUCCCUUCUGAGUUGGUGACUCAGACAAUGAGUUGGUUUGUAAAACUCUUUACAAGUGGAGAAGGGCCUGUCUUAUGAAAUUGACAUUGAUCUCUGCAUUUAUAUCUUUCAGAAGAUCCUCAGAAAAAAGUUGAGGCUCUUCAGAAAAAAGUUGAUGUACUUCAGAUUGAAAUUGACAGGAGGAAGGUUCAGUUCAAACAUGCCUGGAGGAACACACCAUUAUAUCCUGGUGAGUGACAUGAACUCUGAUGAAGAACAUCCUACUAUCAAAGAUAUUUUAAAUGAACAUCUACAGUGUGCAGA
Long non-coding RNA from Dama dama (fallow deer), 479 nucleotides. RefSeq lists it as uncharacterized. The transcript has 6 exons. The record is from RefSeq and is a predicted model, not a curated record. Lineage: Eukaryota; Metazoa; Chordata; Mammalia; Artiodactyla; Cervidae.